UGAAGCGCGGGAAUCCGCCGGCCCGGCUGCCCUCUAAGGGUGAGAAGGGCGUCCCUGCGAGGAGCCGACAUGAUUCCCGGACGUCUGUGUGCCCGGUGGUGUGGGCGCGGCUGCUGAUACCCUCAAAAAGUUAUGGAUAAAAUACUUAGUAUGGCUGAAGGCAUCAAAGUGACAGAUGCUCCAACCUAUACAACAAGAGAUGAACUGGUUGCCAAGAAGGGGUAGAAGAGCCAUCCAAAAAACGAGUUAUAGAAGGAAAAAACAGUUCUGCAGUUGAGCAAGAUCACGCAAAAACUUCUGCCAAGACAGAACGUGCAUCAGCUCAGCAGGAAAACAGUUCAACGUGUACAGGGUCGGCCAUCAAAUCAGAGAGUGGGAACUCAGCUCGGAGCUCUGGCAUCUCCAGUCAGAAUAGCUCUACAAGUGAUGGAGAUCGUUCUGUUUCCAGCCAAAGCAGCAGCAGCGUUUCCUCUCAGGUAACGACUGCGGGAUCUGGGAAAGCUUCUGAAGCAGAAGCUCCAGAUAAACACGGUUCUGCGUCAUUUGUUUCUUUGCUGAAAUCCAGUGUGAAUAGUCACAUGACCCAAUCCACUGAUUCUAGACAACAAAGUGGAUCACCUAAAAAGAGUGCUUUGGAAGGCUCUUCAGCCUCAGCUUCUCAAAGCAGCUCAGAGAUCGAGGUGCCCUUGUUGGGCUCCUUGGGAAGCUCAGAAGUAGAAUUGCCACUGUUGUCUUCCAAACCUAGUUCAGAGACAGCUUCAAGUGGGUUAACUUCCAAAACUAGUUCAGAGGCAAGUGUUUCAUCAUCAGUUGCUAAAAACAGUUCCUCAUCAGGCACAUCCUUACUGACUCCCAAGAGCAGCUCUUCAACAAAUACAUCGCUGCUAA
This 888-nucleotide small RNA is filed under the name Pongo abelii (Sumatran orangutan). Its description in RNAcentral is "processed transcript". The record is from RNAcentral. Lineage: Eukaryota; Metazoa; Chordata; Mammalia; Primates; Hominidae.